This 253-nucleotide ribosomal RNA is filed under the name uncultured bacterium. RNAcentral describes it as "partial 16S ribosomal RNA". It matches the Rfam family "Bacterial small subunit ribosomal RNA", at positions 524 to 776 of the family's 1533-position model. The record is from RNAcentral.
UACGUAGGGUGCAAGCGUUAUCCGGAAUUAUUGGGCGUAAAGCGUCCGCAGGUGGACAUACAAGUCUGCUGUCAAAGUGCAGAGCUUAACUCUGUAAAGGCGGUGGAAACUGUAGGUCUUGAGUAUGGUAGGGGUAGAGGGAAUUCCCGGUGUAGCGGUGAAAUGCGUAGAUAUCGGGAAGAACACCAGUGGCGAAAGCGCUCUACUGGGCCAUAACUGACACUGAGGGACGAAAGCUAGUGGAGCGAAAGGG